Notechis scutatus (mainland tiger snake) is the source of this 553-nucleotide non-coding RNA. Lineage: Eukaryota; Metazoa; Chordata; Lepidosauria; Squamata; Elapidae. The record is from RefSeq and is a predicted model, not a curated record.
CUGUUCCUGGGAGAGUUUUUCUCCAGCCAGAAGGUAACCUGGACACUGGGGGCAAAGUUGGAGAUAAUAAAGGGACUCUAUUGCUUAUCUGACUGUGUUGCCUUUGUGCCACGCCCCAGGUCAUUCCAAGUCCAGAAUUCCCAUCUUAGCAUUAACUGACAUGUGGAAGAGGUGACCAGGUUGAGACCAAGGGAGGGAUCAAACACACCAUCAGUCUCAAGUACCUUCGUGCCCCACAAGAGAUCUAAUGACUCUUGUCUACCACCAAUUUGCUUUGAUCAUUAGUAGUUCAGAUUCUUAUAGGAAGCUUAAGUUUGGAAUAAACCUUUAUAUUCAUUUGUACUGCCUGGAUUUCCUGAUUUCUGUGGGGCUUAAGAAAUACAUAGUGAUUUUUAGUUUUGUUGAUAAAGUUGCAUUCUUGUAGCACCUCUUCUUGCUGAUUUUUGGAACUUACCAAAAGCCCUUCCCACUCAACUACUAUAUGCACUGCUUAGAUGAUUAUCUUAUUAUCUAUGUUCACCAAUGCUCAAAAUGACAUGUAUUUCCUAGAAGG